This 253-nucleotide ribosomal RNA is filed under the name uncultured bacterium. RNAcentral describes it as "partial 16S ribosomal RNA". It matches the Rfam family "Bacterial small subunit ribosomal RNA", at positions 524 to 776 of the family's 1533-position model. The record is from RNAcentral.
UACGUAGGGACCAAGCGUUGUUCGGAUUUACUGGGCGUAAAGGGCGCGUAGGCGGCGUGGUAAGUCAGCUGUGAAAUCUCCGAGCUUAACUCGGAACGGUCAGCUGAUACUGCUGUGCUAGAGUACAGAAAGGGCAAUCGGAAUUCUUGGUGUAGCGGUGAAAUGCGUAGAUAUCAAGAGGAACACCUGAGGUGAAGACGGGUUGCUGGGCUGAUACUGACGCUGAGGCGCGAAAGCUAGGGUAGCAAACGGG